This 283-nucleotide ribosomal RNA is filed under the name uncultured bacterium. RNAcentral's name for it is "partial 16S ribosomal RNA". It matches the Rfam family "Bacterial small subunit ribosomal RNA", at positions 28 to 337 of the family's 1533-position model. The record is from RNAcentral.
GAUAAACGCUGGCGGUCUGCAUAACACAUGCAAGUCGAACGAAGCUCUUUGGAGCUUAGUGGCGGACGGGUGAGUAACGCGUGAGGAUCUGCCUUUAGGACUGGGACAACGAUCGGAAACGAUCGCUAAUUCCAGAUAUGCAGUUAGUGAAACGGAGCAAUCCGCCUAAAGAUGAACUCGCGUCCGAUUAGCUAGUUGGUAGUGUAAGGACUACCAAGGCAACGAUCGGUAGCUGGUCUGAGAGGACGAUCAGCCACACUGGAACUGAGACACGGUCCAGACU